This 201-nucleotide unclassified non-coding RNA is filed under the name Hevea brasiliensis (rubber tree). The record is from RNAcentral. Lineage: Eukaryota; Viridiplantae; Streptophyta; Magnoliopsida; Malpighiales; Euphorbiaceae.
GAUUAAUCCAAAAAAUAGCUGCUUGUAGCAAUCAAAUUACUCUAAAGAAUUGCAUAUUAGCUCAUUAUGGGUACGAAUUCCUAUAGACAGGUUAUUUGUCACGUAAUUCUCAUUUUUCAAUUUGUUCAGUUUGGCUGUCAUUUUUUUAAAGUUACAUUCAUUUGUUACUUUUGUUUUAGGAUUGCAUUGAACCGGAGAGUG